UUGAGUUUCCUAAGUAUGGAGUCGAUGAAGAUCUUGCACAUGGAUAAUAUGGAGAAGAUAUGGCUUGAUGAUCUUGAUUCAAAUGCCUUUGGCAAACUCAAGACACUAGUAGUGAAGUAUUGUGAGAAACUUUUAUCCAUAUUUUCAUCUUAUAAUAUGCUCACCAGAUUUCAAAACCUAGAGAAGAUAAUCGUGACCGAUUGUGCAUCCUUAGAAGUGGUAUUUCAAGUCCAAGAGUUUGAAUUUAGCGAAACUUGUUCUACAAAUACUUUUCAAUUGAGAGAAUUAGUUUUGACGCGGCUCUCAAAAAUGAAACACGUGUGGAGUGGACUUCCUCAAGGAGGUCUUACCUUUGGAUGCUUACAAUGCAUGGACGUUGGCAAGUGUGAGUGUCUCAAAAGUUUAUUUCCAAGCUCGGUGGCAAAAAGUAUGACACAGCUCCAAAAACUUUGUGUAUGGAAUUGUGGGGUGGAGGAAAUUAUCGCGGAGGAAGACGGAGUAAGUAUGAGUGCAGGUGAUCUCUUCUUUCCACAAUUAACCAAACUAGAAUUAUUUGACUUGCCAAAACUGAGGAGCUUCUACCAAAAUAGUCAUACUUCAGCAUGGCCACUCUUUAAGCAAUUGCAAGUGAGACAUUGCGACAAGAUGAGGUCAUUCUCAUUUGCUUGUGAAUUCCAAAGCUGCCAAGGUACAACUACCAACGAGAACCAACCUACACUCUUUUCUUUUGAAAAGGUCAUUCCUCACCUGGAGAUAUUGGAAUUGACGAGGGAGGAUGUUGCGAUGCUGCCGCAGCAUUACAUCUUUGGCAAUCUCAAAAGCUGGUUUUUGGGUGCUACCACGAUGAAAAUGUCGCUUUCCCCUCCGACUUCCUUCUCCAAGGAUUCCCCAAUCUAGAAUUGCUUGUUGUGCGGUGUAGUUCCUUCGAGGAGAUAUUUCCAGAAGAUGCUCUUGGACAUGGGGGAGCGACUCCCUGUGGAGGAUUAACAGACAUGGAAAAACCUCUCAAGUCACUGGAAAUCUGAAGAAACUUUUGCUGGUGUUGCUGCGUAACCUGAAAGGAGUCUGGAAAGAUGGCGCCUUGAUGGCUGAAAUCCUCAAACAGAUUGAAUAUCUAUACCUUCGGUGGUGCCCGAGUUUAUCGAUCGUAUUUCCAUCUCCUGCCUCAUUCCAGAGAUUGACGAACUUAGAAGUAGAGGAGUGCGCUGGUUUAGUUCAUAUGGGGACUUGCUCGGCAAUGACAAGUCUGGUGCACCUUACUUGGCUAACCCUAAGAGAUUGUGGUGCAAUGGAAGAUGUGGUAACAGAUGAUGGAGAUGGAGCAGAGGAGAUCCAUUUCCCCAAGCUGAAAGAGCUAAUACUUGAUCGUUUACCAAGCCUUGAGAGCUUCUCCCCAACGAAUCGCGCCUUCAGUUCCCAUCACUGAAGCGUAUUGUCAUCACGCAAUGCCCCAAGAUGAAUAUAUUCUGCAAGGGUGCCUUGAGGACACCAAACCUAGAUAAAGUACUCCUCUCCGAAGAGGAUGGUGAAGGACUCUGGGAGGGCGACCUUAAUACCACCAUCCAAACCUUAUCGACUUGGAACGAUCCACACCGAAUUCAGUAAUGCAGGUGUCAUGCUCCCUACGAUCAAAGUGGUUGCUUUUUAUUUGCUAGAAAGUGUCUCCUGUAGUAAGAUGUUGAAGCAAUCCUUUUGCAACCCGCGCUUUAAUAGUGUUCUAGUGCAUGGUGUUGAUACCUCUCAACAUGGAGCCUUUAUGCAACAUGUGGUAUUCACAAUGGGUAGGUGCUUCAUUGAAUAUCUCAUUCUUUUUCUAGUUUGGGAUGUCCUCUCUGUCAUUUCCUUGAUAAUUGUACUGGUGUAGCAUAACAGUUGAGCAAAUAAUCAAUAGAUUGUGGGGGUGCUCCAUCCCUUAUUGAAUUGUAUAGGGAUUUUUGAAUGAGUGUUGGCCUUUAGGCAACCUCAUUUAGCAUCAAGAAGUUUCUUUGGAGUUUGGAUGAUGACAAUAGCGGCCGUACACUGACCAAAGGGGGAAGAAGUCCGAGAAUCCAAAUAAGCAUGUGUCCUUGGGGUAGCACAUCAUAGCCUACAUGGAGCCGUUCACGCUAGAUGUUUUCAUCUCCAAGUGCAUUGUCUGGGCUUCACUCACUCACAGGGUCGCAUGCAAGCAGGUUGCUAUUGCAGUACCAAUUCUGAGGACAUCAGAGCCUACUGAAGUCUCAAUUGGACAUACCGGCAUGUUUGGUCAUAGGCCAGAUUUUGGCAGACCAGUCAAGGGAAGCCGAUGUGUACACUGCUUCCUACACUCCAAGAGAGCAGGACAAGUUUGAAGGAAAAAUCGAGUAGUAGUUCAGUUUCUAAUUGACAGUGGUAUCGAUAUUUAAGUUUAUCUUGACUGUUUUUCCUCCUUGAGCAUGAUCUUGAUUGUGUGCACAACUCCUAGUAGGAAUACACUGACAUCUUUGACAUUGUUUUGAGAAUCGCGGGAUGUAGUGUUGGUUCAUUUGCUGGUUUAAUAUAGAUAAUAGUAAUUGUUUGUCUGA
Molecule: long non-coding RNA, 2543 nt
Organism: Eucalyptus grandis
Lineage: Eukaryota; Viridiplantae; Streptophyta; Magnoliopsida; Myrtales; Myrtaceae
Exons: 3
Source: RefSeq, a predicted model, not a curated record